This 232-nucleotide unclassified non-coding RNA is filed under the name Hevea brasiliensis (rubber tree). The record is from RNAcentral. Lineage: Eukaryota; Viridiplantae; Streptophyta; Magnoliopsida; Malpighiales; Euphorbiaceae.
GGGAGAGCAGCUCGCCGCCCCCGCUCCAUACCCCUACACCCUUCCGGCGGCGCCGUUCAUGAGCGAGGACAUCCUCUUCUGCGUCGACAUCGCCGCGGAGACCCGCGUCGAGAUGAAGACCCUCGGCUCCGACGGCCGCCCCAUCAUCCGCAUGGACGCCAUCAUCCAGGCCCUCAUCCUCUUCGUCAACUCCAAGCACACCAUCAACCCCGACCACCGCUUUGCCUUCGCC